UGUAAGUUGUUGUUUAAAGUUGUGUUAGAGGGUGUUAAUAAGUGAUCUGGGUUGUUAGAUCAUAGAUCUAUAACAUCUAGAGGCACGAAAAUCAAGUUUUUAGAAACUGACUUUGAACCCUAAAAUGUUAUCUGACAGCCAUAUGUCAGGGCUUUUAGAUCUGUGUGUGUUAGGUGUUAUGUGUGUUUUAUGUUAUGGAUUUGUUCUUUG
RNAcentral lists this long non-coding RNA (210 nucleotides) under Panax ginseng (ginseng). RNAcentral's name for it is "long non-coding RNA (PGIN_LNC001622)". Lineage: Eukaryota; Viridiplantae; Streptophyta; Magnoliopsida; Apiales; Araliaceae. The record is from RNAcentral.